RNAcentral lists this long non-coding RNA (2335 nucleotides) under Capsicum annuum. Lineage: Eukaryota; Viridiplantae; Streptophyta; Magnoliopsida; Solanales; Solanaceae. The record is from RNAcentral.
GAUAAUGGACAAUGACGAUUUAUAUCAUUGGUCUCGUUCGUCGUAAUGGUGUAUAAAAUCCACCUUGACGACCAUUCUGAUAUAUCACCACCCAUAAACUGAGUCGUUUAAUGUUAAUUCACUUCCUUUUUUAAUCAUAUUUGAUGUUAAUAUUAAUUAAGUAGUAUAUCAAGUGUUAAUUUUUAGCUCUUUUUAGUUUCUUAUUUAGUAGCAGUGAUGAAAAAUUCCUGUGUCGAAGACUUUUUUUGGUCUAUGAUGGUUUACACAAUCCUCUAAGAAGUUCUGAGGUAUAUCAUAUUUCCAAUUUUAGCUCAAAUGCUGUUGAUAUUUAGUUUAUUUGUUGUUAUAGUUAUUUCAUUACUUUGUGUUUUUCUAGUAGUAAUAAUUUACUAUGUUGCUAGACUCUCCAAAAAUGAUGUUGGACCUCUGUUGGCAUUUUUGAAUAGUUAAGUAAUGUGGAUAAUUUAUGUCUGACAAGGAAUGAAGUGAUGAUAGAAUUCAUAAGUCUGUCUAUCCACUGAAAUACAUUUUUAUGAUGUAAAGGGUGAAUCCCGACAGGUUCUGAUCAUUCAAAAUAAUUAAUCCUUUAUUAACUGUGAUUUUUUUGCACUUUUAUUUUAUAAAUUUAUAGUUUUAUGGGCAUAGGAUGAAAUCUUUUAUAUCGUAAAUGGGUAAUUUGCGUCUGAAUCUUUCAUUGAUGCUAUCACCUUGGAGAACUGAUGCCCUUUAAUCUGUUGUUUUAGUUGACACUUCAAAAAUGUCAAUGGGUGCGUGUUGGAUUCUGAUUAGUGUGUUUUUGGAGAAUCCAACAUGAGUUUCAUGUUCAUGGAUUUCAAAUUUAUUCAUUUUGUUGCAUUUAGUUAUGAUGAAAGCCAAUUUGCAGAGCAAGGGUGUCUUUCAAAAAUGACAAAACACUUGCAUUGAAGGUUGGCGAUAUCUUUAGCGAUUCUCCGUGCCUUUCAAACUUUUUUUGUAUUGAUUACGGCCUCGAACAAAUCGCUACAUUCCACCCCAUACCCCACCCCCAUCAAUUAUUAUGGUGCAAUAUUCUCUAUAGAGUGGAUAUGUUCAUAUUUCUCAGCUGAACUUAGUUUGGCACGUUUUCUUUACGGUGCUCAGAUUGGCGCCAUUGAUGACAGAACGUUGUGAUUUCAAGUUGUUUAGGUAUACAUUUUAAGUUUACUUUUAUCUAAAAUAGCUUCAAUUUAUAUGAUCAUCAGAGUCUUUGACAGGAAUGCUUGUGUAGUUAGGUACCUCGAAGAUCUCCUAGUAGGAGUCUUUGGCUAAUCCAUUAUAACAGUGGUGAACUCUGUUAGAUGUUUGUUGGGUUCUAUUUCUGCUUUUUGGAUUUUUGUCAGAUAUAUUUGUUUUAAUAUCCUUGGCCAAUGAUUAAAUUUCUAUUAUAGACAAGCAUAUGACUGAAUUUUCAUCAUGUUGAAAGCCUAAUCUUCUCUAUGAGGCCACUCAUAUUUUUCCUUUUUUCCCUUACCCCUAAGGUAGUGGUACAGACUAUGUACUCUUUUGCCCCCCAGAUCCCACUUUGUGGGAAUAUUUUGUGUAUGUUGUUAUGGUUAUUCUUAAUUGAAAAAAAAUGCUCUUUCAUUGGUGUUAUUACUUAAUUAAAUGGGUCAUAUGAUGAUUAGAAGCAUAGUUCAAAUGAAACCUUGGUGAUUAUAAAACUUCUUUUAGUCUUUCGCUCCUAUCUGAUGACUCCUUAAUUCUGUUGAAAAUAUGUUUUUUGGGGUACUUUAUAUUGUUUUUUGAAAAGUUGAAAUGAUUAAUGGACUGUGACGACUUAUAUCAUUGGUCUCGUUCGUCGUAAUGGUGUUAAAUCCACCUUGACGACCAUUCUGAUAUAUCACCACCCAUAAACUGAGUCCUAUAAUUAAACUUUUUACUUACUUUCCUAGUGUAGUUGGUGUUAAUUUUGCAAUAACAUGAGUAUUAUAUAUAUGUAUGUGUGUGCGCGCGCGCCUGUAUGCGUAUAUGUAUGUGUAUAUAUGUAUACAUAUAUGUAUAUAUCGUGCUGUGAUGAAAAAUGUUUGUGUCGGAGACUUUUGGUCUGUGAUGGCUUACACUACCCUCUAAGAAGUUCUGAGCACUUGUGUUUUUCAAGUUUCAACGCAAAUAUUUUCUGUGUAGUGUCUUUUAUCUGUUGUAAGUACUCUGAUUUUCUUUAAAAUACUUGCAUUGUUAAUUUCUGUUAGAGGUUGAACGAAGUGAUGAUAGAAUUCAUAAGUCUGUCAAUCCACUGAAAUACAUUUUAUGAUGUAAAGAGUGAAUCCCGACAGGUUCUGAUCGUUCAAAUUAAUUAUAGUCUUCCAUUAAUAUGUCC